This 882-nucleotide ribosomal RNA is filed under the name uncultured eukaryote. RNAcentral describes it as "SSU rRNA". It matches the Rfam family "Eukaryotic small subunit ribosomal RNA", at positions 569 to 1474 of the family's 1831-position model. The record is from RNAcentral.
AGCAGCCGCGGUAAUUCCAGCUCCAAUAGCGUAUAUUAAAGUUGUUGUGGUUAAAAAGCUCGUAGUUGGAUCUCAACAGCCUUGAAGCGGUUAACUUUGUAGUUUUACUGCUUUAUAGGCUGUGCUUUUGCUGGAGGUUUAGGGGUGCUCUUGAUCGAGUGUCUCUGGAUGCCAGCAGGUUUACUUUGAAAAAAUUAGAGUGCUCAAAGCAGGCUAAAAUGCCUGAAUAUUCGUGCAUGGAAUAAUAGAAUAGGAUGUCGAUCCUAUUUUGUUGGUUUUCGGGACUCGACAUAAUGAUAAAUAGGGACAGUCGGGGGCAUUUGUAUUCAAACGACAGAGGUGAAAUUCUUGGACCGUUUGAAGACAAACUACUGCGAAAGCAUUUGCCAAGAAUGUUUUCAUUAAUCAAGAACGAAAGUUAGAGGUUCGAAGGCGAUUAGAUACCGCCCUAGUUCUAACCAUAAACGAUGCCAGCUAGCGAUCUGCCUGCGUUUUUACUGUAGACUGGGCAGGAAGCUUCCGGGAAACCAAAGCAUUUGGGUUCCAGGGGAAGUAUGGUUGCAAAGCUGAAACUUAAAGGAAUUGACGGAAGGGCACCACCAGGAGUGGAGCCUGUGGCUUAAUUUGACUCAACACGGGAAAUCUCACCAGGCCCGGACACUGGAAGGAUUGACAGAUUGAUAGCUCUUUCUUGAUUCGGUGGGUGGUGGUGCAUGGCCGUUCUUAGUUGGUGGAGUGAUUUGUCUGGUUAAUUCCGAUAACGAACGAGACUCUGUCCUGCUAAAUAGUUUCUACUUCUCUUUUGAGUAGAAAUUUCUUCUUAGAGGGACUGGUGACUCUUAGUCACACGAGAUUGAGCAAUAACAGGUCUGUGAUGCCCAA